Molecule: ribosomal RNA, 466 nt
Filed under: uncultured bacterium
Lineage: Bacteria
Description: partial 16S ribosomal RNA
Rfam family: Bacterial small subunit ribosomal RNA
Source: RNAcentral
GACGAACGCUGGCGGCGCGCCUAACACAUGCAAGUCGAACGAGCGAGAGGAGGUUGACUUUCUCAAGCGAGUGGCGAACGGGUGAGUAACGCGUGAGGAACCUGCCUCAAAGGGGGGGACAACAGGUGGAAACGACUGCUAAUACCGCAUAAGCCCACGACCCGGCAUCGGGUAGUGGGAAAAGGAGCAAUCCGCUUUGAGAUGGCCUCGCGUCCGAUUAGCUAGUUGGUGAGGUAAUGGCCCACCAAGGCGACGAUCGGUAGCCGGACUGAGAGGUUGAACGGCGACAUUGGGACUGAGACACGGCCCAGACUCCUACGGGAGGCAGCAGUGGGGAAUAUUGCACAAUGGGGGAAACCCUGAUGCAGCGACGCCGCGUGGAGGAAGAAGGUCUUCGGAUUGUAAACUCCUGUUGUUGAGGAAGAUAAUGACGGUACUCAAAAAUGAAGUGACGGCUAACUACGUG